UACGGAAGGCAGCAGUGGGGAAUAUUGCACAAUAGGCGCAAACCUGAUGCAGCCAUGCCGCGUGUAUGAAAAAGGCCUUCGGGUUGUAAAGUACUUUCAGUCGUGAGGAAGGUGUUAAGGUUAAUAACCUUAGCAAUUGACGUUAGCGACAGAAGAAGCACCGGCUAACUCCGUGCCAGCAGCCGCGGUAAUACGGAGGGUGCGAGCGUUAAUCGGAAUUACUGGGCGUAAAGGGCACGCAGGCGGUUAAUUAAGUUGGAUGUGAAAUCCCCGGGCUUAACCUGGGAAUGGCAUUCAAGACUGGUUAGCUAGAGUCUUGUAGAGGGGGGUAGAAUUCCAUGUGUAGCGGUGAAAUGCGUAGAGAUGUGGAGGAAUACCGGUGGCGAAGGCGGCCCCUGGACAAAGACUGACGCUCAUGUGCGAAAGCGUGGGGAGCAAACAGGGAUUAGAUACC
RNAcentral lists this ribosomal RNA (454 nucleotides) under uncultured bacterium. RNAcentral's name for it is "bacterial SSU rRNA". It matches the Rfam family "Bacterial small subunit ribosomal RNA", at positions 340 to 786 of the family's 1533-position model. The record is from RNAcentral.